AUAACAACAGAAAAGGGGGGGGCUCAGCCUGGGCCAACUUGGGCCUUCCCUCGAGUUGUUUUGGGCGCCAACUUCCACCCUUCCUGGUCUGAGGCUGUUUACUUUUCCCCCGUCAGCCGUUUAACCAGGUGAGGGGGGAAAGGAAGGGGCCUGAGGUCGGGAAGGGCGGGGGUUGGCGCCCAAAACAACUGGAGGGGAGGUCCAGGCCUGCUCGAGAGCCAUGCCGUCCUCUUCCUCCCUCACCUUGAAGUCCUCAGAGAAGAACCGGGGAAGAAGUCCUUGAGGCGGGCCAGGGUGCAGACGGCGCUGCGGAGGGCCCGGUAGGAGGAAGGCCGAGGCCGAGGCCGGGAGGAGGAGAGAGGCCCUUCAUCUACAUAAGUCAUUGAUAAAGAUGUUGAAUGGAACCGGGCCCAGGACAGAACCCUGCUUAUGGCACUCCACCCAUCACUUAUUUCCAGGAUGAAGAGAAAGCAUUGAAAAGAAGCUAAUUCAUCUGCGCAUACAUCCUAUCCCGCCUGACUGGUCGUCUCCUCCAGCGGAUGCUGCUGGGCCUCCGACUCCUUAAGGCUUUGUAUCGGAUGGGGAAAAGGAUCCUGCUCAUGACAUUCAGUCGUUCAUUCAGCUCCACCAACCUCUUCUUUAUUGAAUGUACUUGCUUCAGGAGGUUGUCAACUGCCUCGGAUACAGGCUGGAGACUGUAAACAAAAAGGAGUCAGUACUGGGGAAUGUAUAUUGUUGAGGGGCGAUUUGUUAUUUGUAGGAAUAAAAUUAUGUUUCACCUUCCUGAUACCUAAA
Anolis carolinensis (green anole) is the source of this 795-nucleotide long non-coding RNA. RefSeq lists it as uncharacterized. NCBI's taxonomy places the organism in Eukaryota, Metazoa, Chordata, Lepidosauria, Squamata, Anolidae. The transcript is spliced from 3 exons. The record is from RefSeq and is a predicted model, not a curated record.